GUCCGCGCGCAGCUGGGGGCCUGGCCGGCCGCGUCGCCGCUCAUCUGGCGCCGAGCCCCCUCCUCGCGCCCCGGGGUCCGGGCUCGCCGCUCACACCCCUGCCCCCUAGGCCCGCGCCACGUUGCCAUGGGAAGAGGCCGGGGGCCGGAGCGCGGGGCUCGGGGGCGGGCGGGGCGCGGGGAGGAGCCUGGGGAGGUGCGCGGCCGAGGUGCCCGCCCUUCCGCGGGCAGAGCCGUAGCGCAACCCGGCCACCGCCCACUGCGCUCCGGCCGGCGAACCCCGAGCUUCUCGCCCAUGGCGGCCCCGCUCUUCCCGCGCCAGCCCUGGGCCCCCGCGCCCACCCGCUCGGACCCCGCCGACGACUCCGGGGGCCUGUUCGACGNGGCCGCGGCACGCCCCCCGCCCGAGGAGGAGGCGCCCCCCCGGGACGAGGGCUGCUACCUCGACCAUUUCCCGCACCUCUCCAUUUUUAUCUACGCGGCCAUCGCCUUCUCCAUCACCUCCUGCAUCUUCACCUACAUCCACCUGCAGCUGGCCUGAGCCGCCGGGGCCGGGGGCGCGGGAAGGGAAACCACGGCUCUGCGUGGCGUGGGCGGGAGACCCUUCAUCUAGCUUCUUUUGUCCUGUGCUUGUCACUACCUUUGCGUCCCUGCUUCUCUGGAGGCACGUCCGGAGCAGCUGCCACUAUUGAUAUAAGGCUCUGUUUGCCCCUGAGACUGGGGGAGGGGGCGGACAUCCCUCGGCGUUUAGAGGAGCGGGGUGCGGCUCACGAUUGGGACGAUGUCCCUGGACCCUAUACUUCAUGAGGUGGGAGCACGCGCAGCGAGCCCGACCUUCGGUUGCUUAAGAGACGGGCUUCCGGAGAGGGCCCCGCGGGGAGCGGGGGUCUGCGCCCUGGCCCUGGCGGGCCGCAGCCCUGUGAUGCUGCACUGUCCCCCGGAGCAUCAGGCGGGACCCAACCCCCCCCUCCCCCGAGCUGGCGGACCUGAGCGCCCCGCGGACGCCGCCGGAGCGCAGGACACGGCUUUGCUGCAGCUACCGGGCCCGGCCGAGACCCACAGCUGGAGGGGCUGUCCCGGCAGAAGGCCACGCUGUUGUCGCGCCCUGGACGGCAUGGGACCCGCGGCUGCAGACCUCCCGGGACGAGGGACCCUCGCUCGCGCGCUGCGCGGGAUGAGACUGGGGGGCCCGGGGCUGGGGUGCGCGGGAGGGCUCUCUCUCUCCGUCUUUGGCGGCUUCAUGCUGGCCCUGAGCGCUUCCGCAGCAAUGGGACACUAGACGCGGGCGUGGUGUAUCUGUCAUUGGCAAGAAUUCCUGCUGGAAAACCGUUGGGGUUGUCAUCUCCGACCCAAAAGGCCUAACACCAAAACCCAGCUUGAAUGUUAAAUGUCAUCAACCCAGUGCCCUGCUGUGUUCCCUGGAAAUGUGUGUCUUACCUCUGAUGAAAUAAAUCCCUUUUUCAGUCUCCUGUAUACUGAGUUCUCGCUAAUUCAGAGCCAUGCAGUGGGGCUGCCGAGCUUCCCAGUCUGCUCUGUUUCACCCCAUAAUCCUCAGAGCAUCCCUACAGGUGUGUCCGUGAUGAGCCUUCCCAGGGACAGCCUCUCUCUACACUGAAGAGCCAGCCGUGCAGGCCUCUCUGUGGCAUCUUUGUCUAUAUCCGGUUCCCAGGAAAUGCGACCGUCCUGUUCUGUCCCCUCACAGCAGGUCUGUGACUGUCCCCUGUGGCUUCACCGGCUGCCCCUCAGAUAUAGUCCCUGCCUGCUUCCAUUAUCAAGACACUUCUGCCCCAAUAUGGUCCCCCCACUAAACUCUAGAAUCUGGCCCCCCAUUCGCCCAGCUUGUGUCUUUAUAAACUCAGCAUAUGCCAGUCAGAGCCUUGUCACUUCCCAGGUCUGUGUUCCCACGAUCCCGCAUCACCGCAGGGCUUAGCCGACUGCCCCUCUGCCUUUCGUCUCAGUGCUACUGAUAUGAUGCCCACUGUUCCCCGAUGUCAGCCUGUGUUUACACCCACGGUUUACUACAAUAACACCCCCUGAUAAUUAGUGGCACUCUUUCCCGAAAUUAAGUCUCCAAGGAACCCGUAAUAGGUACCUCUCACUGGUUUUCCAGCCUUCAGUCUUGGAUAUUGGAUCUCCUACUGACUUUGAAUAUUGACUAAACACUGAGUCCCUACAGAGCUCCGUGUUCUCCAAACAGUCCCAUUCUUUCCCAUUCACACAUCCCCCAGAACAGUCCUUCAGGGACUACUCAGGGUAUGAUCCCCCAAUAUUCUCCCCUCCACUAAUCUCCAGAGAGUCGGUUCUCCCCUCCAUUCCCAGGGUCCCCUGUUCCUCAACAUAUGCGCCCACUUUCUACCCCAAAUUCCACUAUCCGGCUCCCGUGACUAUAUGACAAUUAGAUCCUCGUACCUCUACUAUCUGAACAUAGGCUCCAAUAUUCUCCUAAAUGUCCAAUCCCAUGUGAUCCCCUUAUUUCAAAAUUCAUUGUGUGGUUCCCCCCAAAACAAUGAUUAUCACUGCCUCUCCAAUAUGGCGCUCCAGCCUUCCCCAACAUUCUCGGCUUCGCUGUCGUCCUCAGUAGUAAGCUGCCCCCAUCCCCAGAAUGCAUUGCUUUCUUCCCGUACACCCAUAUUCUCCCCUAUUAGCCCGUACUUUCCCCCAUAUCCUGAAAUUUCCCAUAUCUCCUUGAAAUUCCUGAUUCCACUGGGCUCCAGUGGGAGCUUGGCCUAUAUUAUCUAACCAAUAUUAAAAUUCUGCUAUUCUCCCACCACCCAUGUGUACUUUCAGCAUUCCUUUGUGCCUGACCUGGCCAAUUUUCCUCUUACAUAGUUCAAAUAUCCCAUGAUAUUUGGUCCCAUAUCCCCUCCACCGCCCACCUAAUUUCACAGUUACUGCUUCCCUGUAUGGAGUUCUCAAUUGUCCUCCAAAUUUUCGGCUUCCAAAAUAUCCAGCCUCUCCAUUCGAGUACUAAUGGACUGUCUUUCCAGGGUUCAACCAUAAAAACAAAUGGGCUCAUGUUGGGGGUCCUUUUGCCACGUUGCUUAAGAAUCUAAUCCCAGAGAGUGUCUCACUGACCUGGCUAGGAUCACAUGCCCACCUUUGGCCAGAAGGCGAAAGAGAGAAUUUGAUACGCUGUCCCACGAAGGUAGGAUGCAAUGGGAAAGGAGGUUUCCCAAAGGAAAACUGGUCACCAUGACCAUGGAGGGUGGGCAGGCAAAAAUAACAGGACAUCCAGUAAAGUGACUCUCAGCAGACCACAAAUGAUGGCAGGAGAGACCACCAUUUUGGGCAACUUGUGCCCUUACACAUUGAGCUGUUAGGGGUGGGGAGGUAUACGGAGGCCGUGAAGCGAACAGUGGUUUCUGGAUUCCAUGGGACAGUAGGAAGUUUAUGUUGGGGGACGCGGUUGGAAUUGAGCUGUGUGGACAGUGGAACCUCAAG
Molecule: long non-coding RNA, 3440 nt
Filed under: Ailuropoda melanoleuca (giant panda)
Lineage: Eukaryota; Metazoa; Chordata; Mammalia; Carnivora; Ursidae
Description: lncRNA (ENSAMEG00000026137.1)
Source: RNAcentral